AAAAAAACUGAUCAAAGAAUUGGUUUAAUGGAAAAUGCUCUGGAAAAUUCUUUUGCAACAGUUCAUCGCUGUUGAUAUAAUCCUAAUUAAAAUUAUCGGACUCCAGUUUUGGUGGAGAUGUAAAUUUGCUAGUGUCUUUGAAGAGCAAUUUAGUCAUAUUCAUGAAAAUUAAAAUUGCAUGUGGCCUUUGACAUAGAAAUUUUACUUCUGGAAAUUUACAGAGAAAGUUGCACGUGUGCACGUACAUACAAGGAUAUUACCACUCCACUCUAGUAUUUUUUGUAGUAACGAAGAUUGAACAAACAUUAAUGUCCUCCAGUAAGAAGCUGAUUAAAAUUCAGUAUGAGACAUCCAUUGUACCCAAAGCUAGGUGGCCUUAAGAAGGUCAGUGUCGCUCAGCGACAGGGCUCGGCCCCCCCUCGUGCAAACCCACCCCGAGGUGUGAGGCCAGGAGUGUGCGGUCACGAGGCGCCCGGGAAGUGUGUCCAAUGCCCGAAGCAGCCCCCACCCGGGCGGUCCUGAGUCCGGGUCGCGCUCUGGUGUAUCUCUUUUGACGUCUGCUACCCACAGCCUGGGGCAGGAGAGUGGCGACGGCGAGGAGCAACUGCACGCGACUUGGGACCUUGCCCUGCCCCGCGGCCCGCGUCACCAUGGCAACUGCAGGCAGCCAGCACCGACGGCGGGAAAACGAGGACCGGAGCCGCGUUACAGCCUUGGCCUUCGAGCAGCCCAGGGAGAGUCUCUGCGUCCUCCAGCCCCCGCUUCCCUUCAUGUCGGAGGUCCUAAGCCCGCAGCGAAGUCCGCAAAGAGCUUUCCCCGACGCCUACGAGACCGGAAGUGCCUGGGCCCAGGUGGAGGAAGGACCCGCGUGGCCGCCUCCGCGCUCUCCCUGGGGUCCGUGCCCCUUCCGGCGUUUCUCCCGCGUCCUUCACCAUGGCAACUCGGGCGUCGGGAGCGUGGGCUGCGAGCCGAGUGGGUGGGGGAGCCGCCGGGCUCUAUCCGCCAGCCCACGAGAAGUGACGCAGGAAGUGCCAACCAUUUUGCCUGGCACAGUACUUGGCCCUGGGGGUACAAUGAAGAUCAAGUUCAAGAUCAAGGUGGUCCCUGCCCUAUGGUGCUUUUAUGGGGG
RNAcentral lists this long non-coding RNA (1129 nucleotides) under Homo sapiens (human). RNAcentral's name for it is "non-protein coding lnc-STK35-4:1". The record is from RNAcentral. Lineage: Eukaryota; Metazoa; Chordata; Mammalia; Primates; Hominidae.